This 475-nucleotide ribosomal RNA is filed under the name uncultured bacterium. RNAcentral describes it as "bacterial SSU rRNA". It matches the Rfam family "Bacterial small subunit ribosomal RNA", at positions 30 to 466 of the family's 1533-position model. The record is from RNAcentral.
AUUGAACGCUGGCGGCAUGCCUUACACAUGCAAGUCGAACGGCAGCACAGCAGAGGUAACUCUGUGGGUGGCGAGUGGCGAACGGGUGAGUAAUACAUCGGAACGUACCCUGUUGUGGGGGAUAACUACGCGAAAGCGUAGCUAAUACCGCAUACGCCCUGAGGGGGAAAGCGGGGGACCCUAAAUAGAGCGCACUGGGGAGUGCGUUGUAUUUAGGGCCUCGCGCAAUAGGAGCGGCCGAUGUCGGAUUAGCUAGUUGGUGAGGUAAUGGCUCACCAAGCCUACGAUCAGUAGCUGGUCUGAGAGGACGAACAGCCACACUGGAACUGAGACACGGUCCAGACUCCUACGGGAGGCAGCAGUGAGGAAUAUUGGACAAUGGGAGCAAUCCUGAUCCAGCAAUGCCGCGUGUGGGAUGACGGGGCUUUGCCUUGUAAACCACUGUCGGACGGGACGAGAAGAGGUAAGAACCUCU